Molecule: ribosomal RNA, 391 nt
Filed under: uncultured bacterium
Lineage: Bacteria
Description: partial 16S ribosomal RNA
Rfam family: Bacterial small subunit ribosomal RNA
Source: RNAcentral
AUACGGAGGAUCCGAGCGUUAUCCGGAUUUAUUGGGUUUAAAGGGUGCGCAGGCGGCCAUUUAAGUCAGCGGUUAAAUCGUGGGGCUCAACCCCAUUCUGCCGUUGAUACUGGGUGGCUUGAUUGCGGUCGAGGUUGGCGGAAUUCGUUGUGUAGCGGUGAAAUGCAUAGAUAUGACGAAGAACACCGAUUGCGUAGGCAGCUGACCAGACCGCAAAUGACGCUCAUGCACGAAAGUGCGGGGAUCGAACAGGAUUAGAUACCCUGGUAGUCCGCACAGUAAACGAUGAAUACUUGUUUUCGGCGAUAUAAUGUCGGAGGCAAAGCGAAAGCGAUAAGUAUUCCACCUGGGGAGUACGCCGGCAACGGUGAAACUCAAAUGAUUGACGGGG